AGAUUUAUCUGUUUGGAGAUUCCAUCACUGAAAUGUCAUUCGAUGAGGGUGGAUGGGGUGCUUCUCUCGUCAAACACUUCAAUCGCACCGCGGAUGUGGUGUUAAGAGGGUAUAGUGGGUAUAACACAAGAUGGGCAUUGAAAGUGUUGGAGAAAGUUUUUCCGGCGACUGAGAAAUCCGAAUCGGAAUCGCCAUUGGCGGUGACGGUUUUCUUUGGAGCGAACGAUGCGUCUCUUGCUGAUAGAUGCU
This 249-nucleotide unclassified non-coding RNA is filed under the name Hevea brasiliensis (rubber tree). The record is from RNAcentral. Lineage: Eukaryota; Viridiplantae; Streptophyta; Magnoliopsida; Malpighiales; Euphorbiaceae.